Molecule: ribosomal RNA, 465 nt
Filed under: Vreelandella stevensii
Lineage: Bacteria; Pseudomonadati; Pseudomonadota; Gammaproteobacteria; Oceanospirillales; Halomonadaceae
Description: partial 16S ribosomal RNA
Rfam family: Bacterial small subunit ribosomal RNA
Source: RNAcentral
CCUACGGGCGGCAGCAGUGGGGAAUAUUGGACAAUGGGCGAAAGCCUGAUCCAGCCAUGCCGCGUGUGUGAAGAAGGCCUUCGGGUUGUAAAGCACUUUCAGUGGGGAAGAAAGCCUUGGGGCUAAUACCCUCGAGGAAGGACAUCACCUACAGAAGAAGCACCGGCUAACUCCGUGCCAGCAGCCGCGGUAAUACGGAGGGUGCGAGCGUUAAUCGGAAUUACUGGGCGUAAAGCGCGCGUAGGCGGUCUGAUAAGCCGGUUGUGAAAGCCCCGGGCUCAACCUGGGAACGGCAUCCGGAACUGUCAGGCUAGAGUGCAGGAGAGGAAGGUAGAAUUCCCGGUGUAGCGGUGAAAUGCGUAGAGAUAGGGAGGAAUACCAGUGGCGAAGGCGGCCUUCUGGACUGACACUGACGCUGAGGUGCGAAAGCGUGGGUAGCAAACAGGAUUAGAUACCCCAGUAGUC